CACGAACGUCACCGCUAACUAUCCACGCUAGAAAGUUCAUGACCAACAGACUACUUCCGAGGAAACAAAUGCUCACUGAUGUCCUUCACCUCGGGAAGGCAACAGUGCCUAAGACAGAAAUUCGGGGAAAACUAGCCAAAAUGUACAAGACCACACCAGAUGUCAUCUCUGUAUUUGGAUUCAGAACUAAUUUUGGUGGUAGCAAGACAACUGGCUUUGGCAUGAUUUACAAUUCUCUGGAUUAUGCAAAGAAAAAUGAACCCAAACACAGACUUGCAAGACAUGGCCUCUAUGAGAAGAAAAAAACCUCAAGAAGGCAAUAAAAGGGAACGCCAAGAACAGAAUGAAGAAAGUCAGGAGAACUGCAAAGGCUAGUGUUGGUGCUGGCAAAAAGCUGAAG
RNAcentral lists this long non-coding RNA (400 nucleotides) under Homo sapiens (human). RNAcentral's name for it is "non-protein coding lnc-TEKT4-3:1". The record is from RNAcentral. Lineage: Eukaryota; Metazoa; Chordata; Mammalia; Primates; Hominidae.